This 492-nucleotide ribosomal RNA is filed under the name uncultured bacterium. RNAcentral describes it as "partial 16S ribosomal RNA". It matches the Rfam family "Bacterial small subunit ribosomal RNA", at positions 29 to 507 of the family's 1533-position model. The record is from RNAcentral.
AUUGAACGCUGGCGGCAUGCUUUACACAUGCAAGUCGAACGGUAACAGGCCUUCGGGUGCUGACGAGUGGCGAACGGGUGAGUAAUGCAUCGGAACGUACCCAGAGGUGGGGGAUAACGCAGCGAAAGCUGUGCUAAUACCGCAUGUGAUCUGAGGAUGAAAGCGGGGGACCGAGCAGCAAUGUUUGGCCUCGCGCCUUUGGAGCGGCCGAUGUCGGAUUAGCUAGUUGGUGGGGUAAAGGCCUAACAAGGCGACGAUCCGUAGCUGGUCUGAGAGGACGGACAGCCACAGUGGGACUGAGACACGGCCCAGACUCCUACGGGAGGCAGCAGUGGGGAAUUUUGGACAAUGGGCGCAAGCCGGAUCCAGCAAUGCCGCGUGCGGGAAGAAGGCCUUCGGGUUGUAAACCGCUUUUGGCAGGAACGAAACGGUGUCCGCUAAUACCGGGCGCUAAUGACGGUACCUGCAGAAUAAGCACCGGCUAACUACGUG